CCUUCCUCAGCCUGUCGGGAGCAGACGGCAGUGGCGGUGGCCCCAAAGGAGGGACCGCUGACAAAGGAGCCUCAGCCAACCAGGAAAAAGGCUAAAUCCACCCUUACCCCUCCUGACCCCCCAAGUGGAGGGAACAGAUCCUGGCCUGAGGGGUCCUAGCCUGGAGCAGGCGCCUGCGCCCAGACCCUGGAGAGCCUUGACCCAGAGCCUGUGCUGAGGUCCAGGGAGUGUGGAGAGCUCCUGGUGUCAAGGACUGAGACUGAGAGGGGAGCCCCCUCCAUCUGGCCCCCUUCC
Molecule: long non-coding RNA, 294 nt
Filed under: Homo sapiens (human)
Lineage: Eukaryota; Metazoa; Chordata; Mammalia; Primates; Hominidae
Description: lncAB551.1
Source: RNAcentral